Molecule: transfer RNA, 67 nt
Filed under: Phyrella fragilis
Lineage: Eukaryota; Metazoa; Echinodermata; Holothuroidea; Dendrochirotida; Phyllophoridae
Description: tRNA-His
Source: RNAcentral
ACCUAAAUAGUUUAUUAAAACACUAAUUUGUGGCAUUAGAGAUGGUAAUAACCACUACCUUUAAGUC